RNAcentral lists this ribosomal RNA (497 nucleotides) under uncultured bacterium. RNAcentral describes it as "partial 16S ribosomal RNA". It matches the Rfam family "Bacterial small subunit ribosomal RNA", at positions 28 to 507 of the family's 1533-position model. The record is from RNAcentral.
GAUGAACGCUGGCGGCGUGCCUAAUACAUGCAAGUAGAACGCUGAAGGAAGGAGCUUGCUCUUUCCGGAUGAGUUGCGAACGGGUGAGUAACGCGUAGGUAACCUGCCUGGUAGCGGGGGAUAACUAUUGGAAACGAUAGCUAAUACCGCAUAACAGUAGAUGUUGCAUGAUAUCUACUUAAAAGGUGCAAUUGCACCACUACCAGAUGGACCUGCGUUGUAUUAGCUAGUUGGUGAGGUAACGGCUCACCAGGGCGACGAUACAUAGCCGACCUGAGAGGGUGAUCGGCCACACUGGGACUGAGACACGGCCCAGACUCCUACGGGAGGCAGCAGUAGGGAAUCUUCGGCAAUGGACGGAAGUCUGACCGAGCAACGCCGCGUGAGUGAAGAAGGUUUUCGGAUCGGAAAGCUCUGUUGUAAGAGAAGAACGAGUGUGAGAGUGGAAAGUUCACACUGUGACGGUAUCUUACCAGAAAGGGACGGCUAACUACGUG